Molecule: non-coding RNA, 5945 nt
Organism: Pantherophis guttatus
Lineage: Eukaryota; Metazoa; Chordata; Lepidosauria; Squamata; Colubridae
Source: RefSeq, a predicted model, not a curated record
AGUCGUCUCUUCUCAAAUUUCUAAUUAUUGUUGUUGAUAACUUUUAGAGCAGGUCCUUAUAAUGUAGCAUAUACAGAUAAUUCUAGAAUUAACAACCAUCACUUAACAACUGCUGUGUUCACUUAAAAACCAUGGAUUCGCUUAUCAGCUAUUGUGAUAUAUCCUAACAAUGAUGACAAAAAAUGGUAAAAUCAAAUCUGGUCACUUGACUUAUGACCGCAAUGACUUAAAACAAGAAAUUUACUCCCAAUUGUGGUCAUAUGUUGAGGACUACUUGUAACUACAAAUCUAAAAGUAAUGAAUUUUAUUGUUUAACAGGAUCACAUAACAUUAACUAUCUCAGGAUUUUAAGGUUUGGGGUUUGGAGAAAUAAAAUAAUCCUUAUAGCGUAUUUAGCUGGAAGCUAGGAGGUUAAGAAAAUUGUUUUAUGGUGGCAGGGCUAUCAGCUCAAUGAAUUGCCCUGUGCCCAAUUUUAUGAUGGACCAAGCAGCAGAAUCUCAAAUUGCAAUGAUAAUAAUUAGUCUACAAAAUGUUGGUCUUAUAAAUGGUAUCAUAAUUCAUAUAGUUUUUAUUCUCAUAAUGGACAAAAUAAAGGGGGUGGCUAAAUUAUUAAAUUCUACAAGAUCCCUUUCCUUAAUCUUGUUUCUUCAGCAGUUCUGGGUGCAACAAGACAAGAUGGUAGAGCUCCAUUUUUUAUAUUCUGUUUAAAGCAACUUCAGGAAAUGCAUUGGGAGCACAAUACUGAGAAAGAUGAAAAAUCCUUGAUUCUGAUCUGAGCCAGUUGAUCUUGUCUGAAGAUUUUGUGGUCUUUGGACCUGCCUAAAAGCUAUUAAAAAGAGUCACCCUAGAAUUCUUUCUGAAUAAUGGAUCACAUUGCUGGAUACUUUCCUGAAGAUACUGAACUGAAUUUUCCUAGCAAGGAGUAUGAACUCCUCUUUCAACUGACAUAUUGACUUAAUAUGAUUUGCUUCAGUAGAGAUGGCGGAAGAUGUAAUGUGGAGUCAUUCAUCAAUUACACAGGACAAGGAUAUAAUCUUGAAGACUGUUUCUUUUUAUCUAAAGGCUGACAGUAGUUUUGAGACUACAUUGUCAUUUAAGAGCUUACAUAAUUUUAGGUUUAUAUUGGAAUAAAGAUCUGUGAUAUUGCCCAAGGUUUUGUGGAGCUCACUUUUUUUUAACCUUGAUUCUCAUUCUACUACUUGCUUGUUGGCAUCUAUAGUUUUCCAACUGCUUCAAGUCAAUUCCAAUAUUCUGCAUUGAUUGAAUGUAUAUUCACUUGGUGUAGGACUGCUUGUGACUGAGUGUAGUAUAUGUGUACUUUAAUGUUGUUUUAUGAAAACUGAAUUUAAUGGCUUCCUAUAAAGGAGAAGUGAUUGAAUCUAUUUCUGUUACGAGCCCUUUUAUGUUCUGUCCUAGGAAGCAAAGCACCUAACAGUGGAACUGAAGAUAAUUUGAUGUGUCCAGUGACAAAUAGCAGGGGAAUGACUUCAUCCUGGGAGUGCUAUGACGAUUGUGUUCGUCACAUUGACACAAAUUGUCACAUAAAGGCGCAAUGUGAGAAAAAUAUUUUGUUACUCUGUUAGUAAUUGAUGGUUGUAGAAUCUGUUGUGUUAAAUCACUCAUUCUUAAAACACUUCAAAGUGUUUUAAUACUUAAUUCCCUUUUUACCUUCCACCCAAAAUAAGAUAUUUAGGACACUCAUAUUUAUGUUGUGAUAUGUGAUAUGGAUAAAAGAUGAAAAGGGAUACUUCAAAGGACUUAAAUUUACAGAGUACCUUCUUUUAAAUAUGUAUGUAUUUUCAUGCUUGUAUCAUUCUGACACAAUAUAAAUUAUUCACAGUAAUAACUUAUCACAAUAACACACAGAGGAGUUUGCAGAUUGCAGUUACUGAACAUGCACUUACACAUGAGUGUUUGAUAUAUCUUAUGAAAGAAAGCAUACCCGUGAAGAAUUUAUGAGAAAGAAUGAAAUAUUCAAUUAUUUUCUGUUUGUUUUCUGGAUCUAAAAUAGUUCCUUCUUCUUUAAAGACUGCCCUGAAAAGAAAGACUAAUUUAGCAGAGGGAUUUAUUCUUUAAGAAAACAAUAAAAAGUUGAACUCAGAAACUUCUUGAAUAAAGAAGAGUAGAGAUUAAUCUAGGGUUCCUGAUUAAUUCAAAGAUUGGCAGAGGAAUUAAAAAUUUUGUCCAAUAAAGAAACAAACCUGGAAAAUAGAACUAAAGAUGCAAGAGAGCAGGAUGGGGAGAAAAAUUUCCAGAAAUAAAUUUGCAGUUGCAGUUAGUCCUGAUUUAACAGCAGUAAUGGGGACUGGAAUUUAAUAAGAGCCUUGGUGGUGCAGUGGACUAAAGUGCUGUUAAGUAGCACUUAGCUGCCAGCUGCCUGCAAUUACUGCAAGUUCAAAUCUCACCAGGCUCAAGGUUGACUCAGCCUUCCAUCCUUCCGAGGUAGGUAAAAUGAGGACCCGGAUUGUGAGGGCAAUAAGCUGACUUUGUAUAAAAAAAAACACCGUUUGGGGGGAGGGGGGGCGAAAGUCCUACUAAGCAGGUAUAUACAAAAGUAUGAAGGCUAUUGCUUAGCACAUUGUAAGCCGCCCUGAGUCUCCGGAGAAGGGCGGCAUAUAAAUCAAACCAAUAAAUAAAUAAAUAAACAAAUAAACAAAUAAAUAAAUUUCCACUGCUAAGCAAUGCACUUAUAAUAUGUGACAUCAUAAGACUGCAUUGCUUAGUGAUGGCAAUUCUGACCGUCCCUAUUGCUAUUGUUAAAUGAGGAUCAUGGGUGGUGAAGUGACAAGGCUGAGUGGCUCACAAGCUGGCCAGAAGGUGGUUGGUGUGGUGCAUUGCAAGCAUGGUCAUGUAGGGCGUGGCUACUGCCAAGUGUGGAAAACCCAGGUGAUUGCCGUGGCACAACAGAAGUGUGUGUGUGUGUGGGGGGAACUCUUGCCUGAGACAGGACUGUGCACACUUGGCUCAUACUUUGUAGCUGGGCUCUGCAGGAGAAAAAGUAGUGAGAGUGGUACUGACUUACAGGAGUGACUUAUGACCAUUGACUUUGCUUGUAGAAGCCGGCAGGGAAGAUUGCAACUGUUUGUGUGAGCCAGUUGUUAGCAGCCCAAAUUGUAAUCACAUGAUGGAGAGAGGUCAACCAGAACUUUGGGGACCAGUCAUAAGUACCAUUUGUUCAGCACCAUCGUAACUUUGAAUGGUUGCUGAAUGAGUAGUUGUUAAUUGAAGCAACAAAAAAGUCACUGUGGAGAACUGCAAUGCAUUGACACCAGAGGCAUUAAAUGGAAAGAAAUGGAAACUUCUGCAGUGAAGAGUGUUGGUAUAACUGAAUAAACUUCUCCUCUAUCAUAUUUUAUUUGCUAUUUGUUUGGGGAGGAAUUUUGAAGCAACUUCUGAAAACCUCUGGUCUUCUCUUGCAAAUGACAUUUUUAAUAUACUGAUUCUAUGGGGCAGAAUAAUGGGACAGAUUAGCAUGACAGAAACACCACCUUUUCUUGAUAUGUAUCAAUAUCAGUAUAUGUACAAAAGUGAGGAACUUAAUUAUGCUGCCAGGAUUUUCAUCAUGGAUAGGUGUGGACUUCAACUCCCAGAAUUCCCCAGCCAGUAUGGCCUUCAGAAUCAGAAUCAGAAUCAGAAUAGAACUGUAAGGGACCUUGGAGGUCUUCUAAUCCAGCCUCCUGCUCAAUCAGGAGAUCCUCUACCAUUUCAGACAAGUGACUGUCCAGUCUCUUCUUCUUUUUUUUUUUUUAAAUUUGAUUUAUAUGCCACCCUUCUCCGGAGACUCAGGGCGGCUUACAGUGCAUUAAGCAAUAGUCUUCAUCCUUUUGUAUAUUUUAUACAAAGUCAGCUUAUUGCCCCCACAACUGGGUCCUCACUUUACCUACCUUAGAAAGGAUGGAAGGAUGAGUCAACCUUGAGCCUGGCAAGAUUCGAUCUUACUUUAAUUGCAGACAGCUGGUGUUAAAUUACAGUGCUUCUGUCUGUUGAGCUAAACCAGGCUUCUUAAAAACCUACAGUGAAGUAUCCACAACGGGGGUGUCAAACUCACAAGGUGUUGUCACGUGAUUAUCACAAUUCCCCUCCCUUUGUUAAACCAGGAGAGAGUGUGGCCAGCACAUGAUGUAUCCAUCCCACAGCCAUGAGUUUGACACCCCUGAUCUACAACAUCUGAAGGCAAGCUGUUCCACUGGUUAAUUGUCCUCACUGUUAGGAAGUUUCUCCUCAAUUCCAGGUUGCUUCUCUCUUUGAUUAGUUUCCAUUCAUCGUUUCUUGUCCUGGCCUCUGGCAUUUUGGGAAAUAAAUUGACCCCCUCCUCUUUGUGGCAGCCUCUCAAAUACAGGAAUAGUGCUAUCAUGUCCCCCUAGUCCUUCUUUUCUCUAGACUAGCCAAACCCAAAUCCUGCAACUGUUCAUAUGUUUUUGUCUCCAGGCCUUUAAUCAUCUUAGUUGUUCUUUGCACUUUUUCCAAAGUCUCAACAUCUUUUUGGUAACGUGGUAACCAAACCUGGGUGUAAUAUUCUAGGUGUAGUCUUACUAAGGCUUUAUAAAGCGGUACUAAUACUGCUUUAUAAGUUGAAAUUUAGUUAUGAGUUGAAAUCCAGAUCUCUUAAAGUUGUGAAAUUUGAAAAACAGUGCCUUAGACUGUAAGGUAAAGUUAAUGACAUAUUUGAAUGCUAUUUUACACCAGCCUAGUAGAACUGUAGGGGGCUCUCUGAAGGUGAGAAGUGGAGAGACUUCUGAAGAAUUGAAGAAGCUUUUUAGAUGAGAAGCGAAAACUUUUCAAAGAAAAAAAACCAAGAAAAUCCAGUUGCCUUUUGGAAAAAUCUCCUUUGGGUGAACUUAUACACUAGUUUACUCUCUGUCAAAUAUUUUUUACUUGGUAUUGGUGUAUAGAUUAACUUUUUCCAACCAGCUGACAAUUAUGUUAUAACUCAGAUUUGCUGAUAUAUUUUAGUUAGAGCCUUUACAUAUUCUUCUUCUGUUGCUUGCCAUAUUUCUGCAGAAAUUCUAUCUAUUCCUGUAGCUUUUUGACUUGGCACUAACUGGAGUGCUGAUCUAACUUUAUAUUUUAGUACCAGAGAUUCUUGUAAAAAGGGAAUAUCUUUUAAGGUAGCUUAGAUAUUAAUACUUCUGCCAUACAGAAUUUCAGCAUAUGCCUUCCAUCUUUCUUAGAUACUCUUUAAUCAAUUAUUAUCUGUCUACUGCUGUUCUUUUACAUAUCAAUUCAAAAUUGGAGCCUCUUUCUGAGUUCAGAGAUCUUUGGAAGGCUUUCCUUGUUUUUUCCUGUCUCUUUUAAUUUUUGAUGCCUUUACAGAUGUCAUUGUAAUUUCUAACAGUUCUCUGAAAUUCUUUGUUAAGUUCCUUUCCUAGAUCUUUGUCUUUCUUGGCCUUGGGUUUCUCUUCUAGGCAAUUUCCAUCAUUUAUUCUUGGUCUUUGGCAGUCUCUUUUCUAAUUCUUCAUUAACAACUUCUUUGAUUUCUUUCUGGUUUUCUUCUAGUUCUUGAUCAAUGAGGUUCAGGAAUUCCAAGUGAUUCUUGGUAUUUUUCUUGAAAAUGGUGGGUAUAAGAUCAAGAAUAUAUCAUGCCCAAUUCUAACCAUGUAUCAUUCUAAGCCUCAUCAAAUGAAAAAGUGUAUAAUAUAAAAAUCAUCAGAUAUGAACUAAAGAAGCAAGUUUACUAGAAUAAGAAUACCAAAAAGAAAAAAGCCAAUAUGAUUUCAAAUGUAAAAGCAAUAUGUUAGCCUGCUGCACUUAUAUAACUAAAAAAGAAAAUGUGACUACUCCCUAAAAUGUUAUUUUUUAUAUGUUAAUACAGUCAGAGAUUAAUUUUUAAGGAAGACUAAAGGAACAUACAUUGAUGUAAUAAAUUUUAAAUUAGGCCAAGUAAUUUGUAUUACUUCAUGUUCUAUAUAUCUAUACAACUUUUAAUAAAAUUCAUUUUUUAUGAA